GUGCCAGCCGCCGCGGUAAUACCGGCAGCCCGAGUGAUGGCCGAUAUUAUUGGGCCUAAAGCGUCCGUAGCUGGCCACACAAGUCCGUUGGGAAAUCGACGUGCCUAACGCGUCGGCGUCCAGCGGAAACUGUCUGGCUUGGGACCGGAAGACCCGAGGGGUACGUCCGGGGUAGGAGUGAAAUCCCAUAAUCCCGCACGGACCACCGAUGGCGAAAGCACUUCGAGAAAACGGAUCCGACAGUGAGGGACGAAAGCCAGGGUCUCCAACCGGAUUAGAAACCCCUGUAGUCC
RNAcentral lists this ribosomal RNA (293 nucleotides) under uncultured bacterium. Its description in RNAcentral is "partial 16S ribosomal RNA". It matches the Rfam family "Archaeal small subunit ribosomal RNA", at positions 455 to 747 of the family's 1478-position model. The record is from RNAcentral.